Molecule: ribosomal RNA, 277 nt
Filed under: uncultured bacterium
Lineage: Bacteria
Description: partial 16S ribosomal RNA
Rfam family: Bacterial small subunit ribosomal RNA
Source: RNAcentral
GACGAACGCUGGCGGCGCACCUAAGACAUGCAAGUCGGACGAUCCCUGCGGGGAUAGUGGCGGACGGGUGAGUAACACGUGGGCGACCUGCCCUUCGGUGGGGGAUAACGGGGGGAAACCCUCGCUAAGACCGCAUGCGCCCGGGCCCAUAGGGGGGCUCGGGGAAAUGCCGGGAGGCAGCCGAGGGAGGGGCCCGCGGCGGAUUAGCUAGUUGGGGGGGUAGCGGCCCCCCAAGGCCGCGAUCCGUAGCUGGUCUGAGAGGACGGCCAGCCACACC